CGGCCCGUAGCUCAGUGGUGAGAGCGCGUAUCUUAUAAAUACGAGGGCAUGGGUUCAAUUCCCAUCGGGCCUACCA
RNAcentral lists this transfer RNA (76 nucleotides) under Bacteroidota bacterium. Its description in RNAcentral is "Bacteroidetes bacterium (freshwater metagenome) tRNA-Ile". It matches the Rfam family "tRNA". From Rfam's summary of the family: Transfer RNA (tRNA) molecules are approximately 80 nucleotides in length. Lineage: Bacteria; Pseudomonadati; Bacteroidota. The record is from RNAcentral.